This 740-nucleotide ribosomal RNA is filed under the name uncultured prokaryote. RNAcentral's name for it is "bacterial SSU rRNA". It matches the Rfam family "Archaeal small subunit ribosomal RNA", at positions 44 to 789 of the family's 1478-position model. The record is from RNAcentral.
CUAAGCCAUGCGAGUCUUUGUAGUAAUACAAGGCAGACGGCUCAGUAACACGUAGUCAACCUACCCUAUGGACAAGAAUAAUCUCGGGAAACUGGGCAUAAUUCUUGAUAGAUCAUAAUGCCUGGAAUGGUUUAUGGUUAAAAUGAUUCGUCGCCAUAGGAUGGGACUGCGGCCUAUCAGCUUGUUGGUGAGGUAAUGGCCCACCAAGGCGAUUACAGGUACGGGCUCUGAGAGGAGAAGCCCGGAGAUGGGUACUGAGACACGGACCCAGGCCCUAUGGGGCGCAGCAGGCGAGAAAACUUUGCAAUGUGCGAAAGCACGACAAGGUUAAUCCGAGUGAUUUCUGCUAAAGAAAUCUUUUGCCAGUCAUAAAACCACUGGUGAAUAAGGGGUGGGCAAGUUCUGGUGUCAGCCGCCGCGGUAAAACCAGCACCUCAAGUGGUCAGGAUGAUUAUUGGGCCUAAAGCAUCCGUAGCCGGCUUUGUUAGUUUUCGGUUAAAUCCAUGUGCUCAACGCAUGGGCUGCCGAAAAUACUGCAUAGCUAGGGAGUGGGAGAGGUAGACGGUACUCAGUAGGAAGGGGUAAAAUCCUUUGAUCUAUUGAUGACCACCUGUGGCGAAGGCGGUCUACCAGAACACGUUCGACGGUGAGGGAUGAAAGCUGGGGGAGCAAACCGGAUUAGAUACCCGGGUAGUCCCAGCUGUAAACGAUGCAGACUCGAUGAUGCAUUGGCAUAAUAG